UACAGAGGGUGCAAGCGUUGUUCGGAAUUAUUGGGCGUAAAGCGCGUGUAGGCGGCCAGAUAAGUUGGGUGUGAAAGCCCUCGGCUUAACCGAGGAAGUGCGCCCAAAACUGCUUGGCUUGAGUACCGGAGAGGAUGGUGGAAUUCCCGGUGUAGAGGUGAAAUUCGUAGAUAUCAGGAGGAACACCAAUUGCGAAGGCAGCUCGCUGGGACGUUACUGACGCUGAGACGCGAAAGCGUGGGGAGCAAACAGG
This 253-nucleotide ribosomal RNA is filed under the name uncultured bacterium. RNAcentral describes it as "partial 16S ribosomal RNA". It matches the Rfam family "Bacterial small subunit ribosomal RNA", at positions 524 to 776 of the family's 1533-position model. The record is from RNAcentral.